AUAUUGGUCAAUGGAGGCAACUCUGAACCAGCCAUGCCGCGUGCAGGAAGACGGCCCUACGGGUUGUAAACUGCUUUUGUACCGGAAUAAACCCCUUUACGUGUAAAGGGCUGAAUGUACGGUAAGAAUAAGGAUCGGCUAACUCCGUGCCAGCAGCCGCGGUAAUACGGAGGAUCCGAGCGUUAUCCGGAUUUAUUGGGUUUAAAGGGUGCGUAGGCGGCCUGUUAAGUCAGGGGUGAAAGACGGUGGCUCAACCAUCGCAGUGCCCUUGAUACUGAUGGGCUUGAUUACAGUUGAGGUAGGCGGAAUGUGACAAGUAGCGGUGAAAUGCAUAGAUAUGUCACAGAACACCAAUUGCGAAGGCAGCUUACUAAAGUGUAAAUGACGCUGAGGCACGAAAGCGUGGGGAUCAAACAGG
This 418-nucleotide ribosomal RNA is filed under the name uncultured bacterium. RNAcentral's name for it is "bacterial SSU rRNA". It matches the Rfam family "Bacterial small subunit ribosomal RNA", at positions 361 to 776 of the family's 1533-position model. The record is from RNAcentral.